UUUAUGGAGAGUUUGAUCCUGGCUCAGGAUGAACGCUGGCGGCGUGCCUAAUACAUGCAAGUCGAGCGAACGGACGAGAAGCUUGCUUCUCUGAUGUUAGCGGCGGACGGGUGAGUAACACGUGGAUAACCUACCUAUAAGACUGGGAUAACUCCGGGAAACCGGAGCUAAUACCGGAUAAUAUUUUGAACCGCAUGGUUCAAAAGUGAAAGACGGUCUUGCUGUCACUUAUAGAUGGAUCCGCGCUGCAUUAGCUAGUUGGUAAGGUAACGGCUUACCAAGGCAACGAUGCAUAGCCGACCUGAGAGGGUGAUCGGCCACACUGGAACUGAGACACGGUCCAGACUCCUACGGGAGGCAGCAGUAGGGAAUCUUCCGCAAUGGGCGAAAGCCUGACGGAGCAACGCCGCGUGAGUGAUGAAGGUCUUCGGAUCGUAAAACUCUGUUAUUAGGGAAGAACAUAUGUGUAAGUAACUGUGCACAUCUUGACGGUACCUAAUCAGAAAGCCACGGCUAACUACGUGCCAGCAGCCGCGGUAAUACGUAGGUGGCAAGCGUUAUCCGGAAUUAUUGGGCGUAAAGCGCGCGUAGGCGGUUUUUUAAGUCUGAUGUGAAAGCCCACGGCUCAACCGUGGAGGGUCAUUGGAAACUGGAAAACUUGAGUGCAGAAGAGGAAAGUGGAAUUCCAUGUGUAGCGGUGAAAUGCGCAGAGAUAUGGAGGAACACCAGUGGCGAAGGCGACUUUCUGGUCUGUAACUGACGCUGAUGUGCGAAAGCGUGGGGAUCAAACAGGAUUAGAUACCCUGGUAGUCCACGCCGUAAACGAUGAGUGCUAAGUGUUAGGGGGUUUCCGCCCCUUAGUGCUGCAGCUAACGCAUUAAGCACUCCGCCUGGGGAGUACGACCGCAAGGUUGAAACUCAAAGGAAUUGACGGGGACCCGCACAAGCGGUGGAGCAUGUGGUUUAAUUCGAAGCAACGCGAAGAACCUUACCAAAUCUUGACAUCCUUUGACAACUCUAGAGAUAGAGCUUUCCCCUUCGGGGGACAAAGUGACAGGUGGUGCAUGGUUGUCGUCAGCUCGUGUCGUGAGAUGUUGGGUUAAGUCCCGCAACGAGCGCAACCCUUAAGCUUAGUUGCCAUCAUUAAGUUGGGCACUCUAAGUUGACUGCCGGUGACAAACCGGAGGAAGGUGGGGAUGACGUCAAAUCAUCAUGCCCCUUAUGAUUUGGGCUACACACGUGCUACAAUGGACAAUACAAAGGGCAGCGAAACCGCGAGGUCAAGCAAAUCCCAUAAAGUUGUUCUCAGUUCGGAUUGUAGUCUGCAACUCGACUACAUGAAGCUGGAAUCGCUAGUAAUCGUAGAUCAGCAUGCUACGGUGAAUACGUUCCCGGGUCUUGUACACACCGCCCGUCACACCACGAGAGUUUGUAACACCCGAAGCCGGUGGAGUAACCUUUUAGGAGCUAGCCGUCGAAGGUGGGACAAAUGAUUGGGGUGAAGUCGUAACAAGGUAGCCGUAUCGGAAGGUGCGGCUGGAUCACCUCCUUUCU
Molecule: ribosomal RNA, 1554 nt
Filed under: Staphylococcus aureus
Lineage: Bacteria; Bacillati; Bacillota; Bacilli; Caryophanales; Staphylococcaceae
Description: 16S ribosomal RNA
Rfam family: Bacterial small subunit ribosomal RNA
Source: RNAcentral